This is a long non-coding RNA of Ornithodoros turicata, 469 nucleotides long. RefSeq lists it as uncharacterized. NCBI's taxonomy places the organism in Eukaryota, Metazoa, Arthropoda, Arachnida, Ixodida, Argasidae. The transcript has 3 exons. The record is from RefSeq and is a predicted model, not a curated record.
UCAUUCUGUCAAAGAAGUGCAAUAACUAGAACCCAUGACCGUGAGGGAUCGCAUGUUUGGGAAGAAUUCGUUUCUUGCAACCGCUGCAAAUCAGUUUGUUUUGAAACGUCGGGGAGCGAGGACGAGUCUGCUCGGUCUUCGAAGAAAUUCGUUCGACGCGUUCAAGAUUGAAGUCAUUUAAGUGGUCCUGAUCACCGGCAGGCUGGACACAACGACUGAGGGACGGAGACAACGAACUUUGUGCUUCAUGCACGAACGUUGAUGCGUGAAUUAGAGGAGCCGAGAGUGCAUUUUACACCUGGAUUACACAAGCAAGUUACGUCAAGCGAUGUCGUAAAUGGGUGAGUCAAUCGUCUACUGUGGUUGGUGUUACGUUCUGCGGAAGAAACGGAAGUUGGGGAAGAACAGCUAUCCAAAGGUGUGGAAGAGAUAAAGAAGCGUGACCACAGAGCAGCUGCAGUGGUGAAGG